UGGACAGAUUAUUGUACUCGACUGUAUUCAUGGCGUGAAACAGGGGAUUACACUGUUUUUAAACGGAAAGUGAAUCAAUUAACAUAAUAGACUCCU
This is a microRNA precursor of Nicotiana attenuata, 96 nucleotides long. It matches the Rfam family "MIR6152 microRNA precursor family". Lineage: Eukaryota; Viridiplantae; Streptophyta; Magnoliopsida; Solanales; Solanaceae. The record is from Rfam.